Molecule: ribosomal RNA, 497 nt
Filed under: uncultured bacterium
Lineage: Bacteria
Description: partial 16S ribosomal RNA
Rfam family: Bacterial small subunit ribosomal RNA
Source: RNAcentral
GAUGAACGCUGGCGGCGUGCCUAACACAUGCAAGUCGAGCGAACGGACGAGAAGCUUGUUUCUCUGAUGUUAGCGGCGGACGGGUGAGUAACACGUGGAUAACCUACCUAUAAGACUGGGAUAACUUCGGGAAACCGGAGCUAACACCGGAUGAUAUCUUGAACCGUAUGGUUCAAAAGUGAAAGACGGUCUUGCUGUCUCUUAUAGAUGGAUCCGGGCUGCUUUAGCUAGUUGGUAAGGAAACGGCUUACCAAGGCAACGAUGCAUAGCCGAUCGGAGAGGGGGGGCGGCCGCACGAGAAGGGGACCGGGGUCCAGACUCCUACGGGAGGCAGCAGAAGGGAAUGGGCCGCAGUGGGCGGGAGCCUGGCGGAACAACGCCAAGUGGGUGGUAGAAGUCUUCGGUUCGGGAUGCUCUGUUUUUAGGGAAGAACAUAUGUGUAAGUAACUGUGGACUUCUUGACGGUACCGAAUAAAAAAGCAACGGCUAACUACGUG